GCAGUUAAAAGGAGUCUGCAUAGACAGAGGGCACAAAUGUGAGUUGAUUAUGUUGGUAUCAUAUUGUGAAGAUUAAAUUAAUUCCCCUGCCCAUUUUUAGAUUUAAUCACCAAAAGUGUAAACAUUCUACUUAAUCUUUAAGUGGGGGAGGUCUGUGACCCACAUGUGCAAUAAUGGGUGAUAAAUCAGAAUCAAACUGACUGCCCCUUGGGCAGUCCUAAACAAAGCUUCAACUGUAAUUGGUAGACAUAAAAUUGGAGGAGGGCACAGGAAGUGAUGUAAUAGAAAGUGUCUUUAAAAGGGAGUUACAGCUUCCUGUGGGAAUUUCUUCUUUGAAGAGUUCUUCAAGAGUUCUUCAGGCUUGGGACUUCUAACUUUUUCUGGGAGUUCUGGAGUUCUUCAUGCUUGGGACUUCUGACUGCUCUCAUUCUUUGGAGUUCUGAGUUCCAGUUGGAGGCUGGUGAAGAAUCUGUUGACUGGACCUGAGACCCUAUACCUGGUUAUUUCCAGAGUUCUAUGGAACAGAGGUAAGGAGAGACUGACUAUGUGUGGGGCCACCAGUGCAAAAGCAUGGAGAUAAUGAAUGGAGUUCCAAGUAUGAAGAAAGAAGGCCAGGUUGGUUGCAACACAUAUAUGGUCUAAUGUGAAUGGAAAGAUAGUUUGGAGCCAGGUUGUAAAGGCCCUUAAAAACCACACAGAGGAGUUUUAUUUUAUCAUAGGGGUAAUAGAAAACCACUGAAAUUGAUUAGGAGCGUUGAAUAGCCAGAUCUGCACUUAAAGAAAAUUACUUUGGCAGCAGUGUGUAGGACUGACAGACUGUAAUAGGAACAGACUUGAGGCAUGGAGACCAAUUAGGAGGCUGUUGUAAUAAUCUAGAUGAGAGAUAAUGAAGGCCUGAACUAAAGUAUUAGUGUGAAGAUAGGAUUAACUCUUUCCUUGUCUAUUUUUAGCUAGUCAAAUCAAGAACUUGAAGUAUCCCUACUUACCAUUAAGUAUAAGAAUUCACAGAGUCACUUACUAGAGUAAGCUCACACCUCCAAAGGCCACUGCCCCUCUCCCCCUUGGGCAGUGCUAGGCAAAUUGAAAGACUGCCUUUGGUUUUUGUGAAGGAGGAGUGACAGGAAGUCACAGGAAAAAAAGCAUAAAAAGAAGAGACCAGCACGGUCUAGCAUUCAUUCCCUUUCUGGCGUUUAGAGAGAUUGGUUCCAGAGAUUCCUUUCCUGA
RNAcentral lists this long non-coding RNA (1224 nucleotides) under Monodelphis domestica (gray short-tailed opossum). Its description in RNAcentral is "lncRNA (ENSMODG00000039949.1)". Lineage: Eukaryota; Metazoa; Chordata; Mammalia; Didelphimorphia; Didelphidae. The record is from RNAcentral.